This 882-nucleotide long non-coding RNA is filed under the name Eucalyptus grandis. RNAcentral describes it as "long non-coding RNA (EGRA_LNC001938)". The record is from RNAcentral. Lineage: Eukaryota; Viridiplantae; Streptophyta; Magnoliopsida; Myrtales; Myrtaceae.
GGGUCCCUGGCUUGCUGAUCUGAUUCCCUUCCUCCACGAUCUUGCUUCAAGUGUUAUCAAGUCUCUUGAUUUAGCAAUCUUCUCUUUUUGUAGAGUAGAAUUUCUUUUUUAGCUAUUGUAUUUGGGUUUUAUUGGUUAUCAAGAUCCUCGUUGAGGGAGCUGGGGUUGUAAGGAUUGGGAUUUGGUGUUGAAUGAGAUUUGGGGUGGUGAUGCAAGUGAUCAUUGUCCAGCAGGUUCUGCUCUGUAUCAUCAGCUUUGCUUCAGCUGUCCAGGAUCUGCAGGUACAAAAGUUUUCUUGCCUUUUUACAUGUUCAACUGUGAUUUUGAGCACUUGGUGCAGCUGCUGAACUUAACGUUUGAUCUGAUGAUAACUGAUGUCUUGGUUUAUCAAGUUUCACUUAGCAAUUGUAAGGUCUCGUAACUAUAUAGAAAGUUUCACAGAUCUGUCCCUUCGUUGGCUCACUGCUAAUAUUGUGCUGUUGCAUUCAGUGAUUCGUCUACAAUGACUAAGCCAGAGCAUGAAUUUAGGAGAGGUAUCCGGCAGAGGCAUGUCAGAUCCGUCAUUUGAGCUAUUGUUCUUCUCUUGAUUUCAAUGUGCAAUUUUUAUGCGGAAUUUUGUAAAAAUUGCACUUGGCGGUCCUUAAUUGCAAGUUCUAGUUCGAUGUUUUCCCGAAUUAAAAUCGUAGGUUUCAGCAUUGUCUCCACAGCUAAAGCUUUCCCAUCUGGGAAUUGCUUGCUAGAUGACGGUUUACCCCAUGAACGGCCAGGCAUGGUUUGCAUAGACGUUUAUGCAAUUGGCAAAUUUUUCCUACGCCAUUUUUCUCUUCAAUUGUACUGGAGCUAAGGAGUGAACAGCUCCAAAUCAACGGGAGAAUUAUCAAA